Molecule: non-coding RNA, 722 nt
Organism: Schizosaccharomyces pombe (fission yeast)
Lineage: Eukaryota; Fungi; Ascomycota; Schizosaccharomycetes; Schizosaccharomycetales; Schizosaccharomycetaceae
Source: the annotation of a GenBank genome assembly
CACGUAUUCUCCAGGGUAAAAGCAUUCCAUACUGCGGGGAUAGUGUGCGGUAUCUGCGUAAUGAGGCAAAACUUUGUACCACACUGCACCAUGUGAAUUCUCAUCCACUUUCUGUUCAGAAUGAAAAAAUACCCAGCAAUGAUUCAUAAUACUGUUCUCUUCAUAUGUGUCAAAGAGUUUUGGAGGAAUGCCUUCAGGCCAUUCUGUUCUCGAUUUUCCUUUAAAGCUCAGUUGUAUCUUUUUCAAUUUCACAGGCUUAUAAAUUUGAAUGCACAAAGAUCCACGCAAAACAGCUGAAUGUUCACUUUGAAUUUCACUUGAAGUCGCUCCAGGUAAAUAGAGCACAGGUUCAGCAAGCGCAAUAGCUACUCUGGCAUUAGAGUUAGAAGAAAGCAGAAGCCAUUCACGAGCUCGAUAUGAUAGACCUUCACAUUUACUAAUUUUCUCUUCCUGGUAUAUAUGUUGCGAGGGAUCAGGCUGUGUGGUUCUAUCAGUCAAGCGAAUUACAGGGUUGUAGCCAUUGGAAGAAGGUCCGUAAGGAAACACCUUGUCGUGAUAAUUUCUCAGAUUGGGAAUAUACAUCAAACGAGAUACACACUAUGAUAGUACUUCGCAACUAUGUAUCUCAGAACAAGCACCUUGCAAGGCGUACUUCAGAGGCCUAAAAAUCGAGAUGAACAAAUGAAUUAAAGAUAAAAAAUGCACAGCUUAAAUGACAGCGU